GAUUCGGGGUGCAGCAGGCGCGAAACCUUAGCAAUGUGCGAAAGCACGACUGGGUCAGUCCGAGUGAUUCCUGAUAAAGGAGUCUUUUGCUUGUCCUAAAAGCACAGGUGAAUAAGGGGUGGGCAAGUCUGGUGUCAGCCGCCGCGGUAAUACCAGCACCUCGAGUGGUCAGGACGUUUAUUGGGCCUAAAGCAUCCGUAGCCGGCUCUGCAAGUCUUCGGUUAAAUCCACCUGCUCAACAGAUGGGCCGCUGGAGAUACUACAGAGCUAGGGAGUGGGAGAGGCAGACGGUAUUCAGUGGGUAGGGGUAAAAUCCUCUGAUCCAUUGAGGACCACCAGUGGCGAAGGCGGUCUGCCAGAACACGUUCGACGGUGAGGGAUGAAAGCUGGGGGAGCAAACCGGAUUAGAUACCCGGGUAGUCCCAGCUGUAAACGAUGCAAACUCGGUGAUGCAUUGGCUUAUGGCCAAUGCAGUGCCGCAGGGAAGCCGUUAAGUUUGCCGCCUGGGAAGUACGGACGCAAGUCUGAAACUUAAAGGAAUUGGCGGGGGAGCACAAUCACUAGUGAAU
RNAcentral lists this ribosomal RNA (569 nucleotides) under uncultured archaeon. RNAcentral's name for it is "bacterial SSU rRNA". It matches the Rfam family "Archaeal small subunit ribosomal RNA", at positions 319 to 893 of the family's 1478-position model. The record is from RNAcentral.